Lepisosteus oculatus (spotted gar) is the source of this 1125-nucleotide non-coding RNA. NCBI's taxonomy places the organism in Eukaryota, Metazoa, Chordata, Actinopteri, Semionotiformes, Lepisosteidae. The record is from RefSeq and is a predicted model, not a curated record.
AACAACUCCAUUUCCACCCAUCCAAGAAAGAUAUAAAUCACGAUAACCUGAAACUUCACUUAUUAGCCAUUGUCAAGAGACAAAAAGGCACUUUUGUCCAACAUGAAACACUUUGUUCUUGUGGUUUUGUUUUUGGUUGCAGUCUCCAAUAUUUCUGCAUUCCCAAGAUGGUUACCUCUGCCGGGUUCAGGGAGACAUGAUGAUAGGAUGCCUCAUCACCAUGGAGAGCACCCUAAGUUCCCAGGAAGAGACCCACACUGCAAGGGAAAGACAACAGCUGCACCACCUUCAACCACCACUGUCACUACUAGAACAAUCCCUGUUAAAACAAGUACGACUGUACAAUCUACAACCUCCAGCACAACUGUGUCGUCUGCGUCUACUACUGUGUCCAGCACUGCUGGGACGACUGCACCUAACAGAGGGGAUAUUAUGAUAGUCUGACCUAACAUAGAAAAAUAAAGCUGUCUCUGCCCUUUCCUUUAUGGAAGUUAAUCCAUUUGUUUUACUGCAAUGUUCUACAGUACAAUUCUAUGCAGAAUAAUUAAAACAACAAAUACAAACGUUUUGAAAAACAUUCAAUAUUUUAGGUAAGAUCAGAUCAAAAGAGCUUUUUAGUCCCUGCAUCUUCAAAAUAAUUGUAAAUUUUAAAAUUAAUGUUUGCAAAAAGAAAAAUUGUUGGAGACUUCUCUCUCUUUUAUGUCUUUUGUUUUAUUAACACAUCUGAAAAAUCUCAACAGCUAACUGCAAAACAAAGAACAAUAUCCUUCAUUUAUCUAUUAUACCCUAGAUGCCAGCUAUCUUAAUUUGUAAGGCAUCACAUCAUAUUAGAAAAAAAAUAAUGAUUUUAUAUUUUAUAUUCCUUUCACUUUUUCUGAAAGGUAUGGGGAUUCAGCAUUGUUAACUAUGCAUUGUUAACAUUGUUAAGUACCUAUGUUUUCCUCUUCUGGUGUUUUAAGUUGUUACAAAACUAAAUUAGGUUAGUAGGUUAAAGUUAUUAGUUUGUAAGUACGUAGUCUUUCAGCCUCAAUGGAUUUUUAGCCAGCUGUUUGUGUCUUUCACACAAUUCUUAUAAAUCUAUGCUAUGCUAUAAAUCUUAAAUAAAAUCUGUUCUGUCAGCAGCAA